Molecule: ribosomal RNA, 917 nt
Filed under: uncultured Burkholderia sp.
Lineage: Bacteria; Pseudomonadati; Pseudomonadota; Betaproteobacteria; Burkholderiales; Burkholderiaceae
Description: bacterial SSU rRNA
Rfam family: Bacterial small subunit ribosomal RNA
Source: RNAcentral
AGAGUUUGAUCCUGGCUCAGAUUGAACGCUGGCGGCAUGCCUUACACAUGCAAGUCGAACGGCAGCAUGAUCUAGCUUGCUAGAUUGAUGGCGAGUGGCGAACGGGUGAGUAAUACAUCGGAACGUGCCCUGUAGUGGGGGAUAACUAGUCGAAAGAUUAGCUAAUACCGCAUACGACCUGAGGGUGAAAGUGGGGGACCGCAAGGCCUCAUGCUAUAGGAGCGGCCGAUGUCUGAUUAGCUAGUUGGUGAGGUAAAGGCUCACCAAGGCGACGAUCAGUAUCUGGUCUGAGAGGACGAUCAGCCACACUGGGACUGAGACACGGCCCAGACUCCUACGGGAGGCAGCAGUGGGGAAUUUUGGACAAUGGGGGCAACCCUGAUCCAGCAAUGCCGCGUGUGUGAAGAAGGCCUUCGGGUUGUAAAGCACUUUUGUCCGGAAAGAAAUCGCACUUACUAAUAUUAGGUGUGGAUGACGGUACCGGAAGAAUAAGGACCGGCUAACUACGUGCCAGCAGCCGCGGUAAUACGUAGGGUCCAAGCGUUAAUCGGAAUUACUGGGCGUAAAGCGUGCGCAGGCGGUUGUGCAAGACCGAUGUGAAAUCCCCGGGCUUAACCUGGGAAUUGCAUUGGUGACUGCACGGCUAGAGUGUGUCAGAGGGGGGUAGAAUUCCACGUGUAGCAGUGAAAUGCGUAGAGAUGUGGAGGAAUACCGAUGGCGAACGCAGCCCCCUGGGAUAACACUGACGCUCAUGCACGAAAGCGUGGGGAGCAAACAGGAUUAGAUACCCUGGUAGUCCACGCCCUAAACGAUGUCAACUAGUUGUUGGGGAUUCAUUUCCUUAGUAACGUAGCUAACGCGUGAAGUUGACCGCCUGGGGAGUACGGUCGCAAGAUUAAACUCAAAGGAAUUGACGG